GUAGCUCAAUUGGUAGAGCAGUGGCCUCUUAAGCCAUUGGUUGAAGGUUCGAGUCCUUCC
RNAcentral lists this transfer RNA (60 nucleotides) under Fidelibacterota bacterium. Its description in RNAcentral is "tRNA-Lys". It matches the Rfam family "tRNA", at positions 7 to 64 of the family's 71-position model. From Rfam's summary of the family: Transfer RNA (tRNA) molecules are approximately 80 nucleotides in length. Their secondary structure includes four short double-helical elements and three loops (D, anti-codon, and T loops). The record is from RNAcentral. Lineage: Bacteria; Pseudomonadati; Fidelibacterota.